This 468-nucleotide ribosomal RNA is filed under the name uncultured bacterium. Its description in RNAcentral is "partial 16S ribosomal RNA". It matches the Rfam family "Bacterial small subunit ribosomal RNA", at positions 28 to 507 of the family's 1533-position model. The record is from RNAcentral.
GACGAACGCUGGCGGCGUGCUUAACACAUGCAAGUCGAACGGAAAGGCCCUGCUUUUGUGGGGUGCUCGAGUGGCGAACGGGUGAGAAACACGUGAGUAACCUGCCCUUGACUUUGGGAUAACUUCAGGAAACUGGGGCUAAUACCGGAUAGGAGCUCCUGCUGCAUGGUGGGGGUUGGAAAGUUUCGGCGGUUGGGGAUGGACUCGCGGCUUAUCAGCUUGUUGGUGGGGUAGUGGCUUACCAAGGCUUUGACGGGUAGCCGGCCUGAGAGGGUGACCGGCCACAUUGGGACUGAGAUACGGCCCAGACUCCUACGGGAGGCAGCAGUGGGAAAUAUUGCACAAUGGGCGGAAGCCUGAUGCAGCAACGCCGCGUGCGGGAUGACGGCCUUCGGGUUGUAAACCGCUUUCGCCUGUGACGAAGCGUGAGUGACGGUAAUGGGUAAAGAAGCACCGGCUAACUACGUG